Molecule: ribosomal RNA, 253 nt
Filed under: Coprococcus comes ATCC 27758
Lineage: Bacteria; Bacillati; Bacillota; Clostridia; Lachnospirales; Lachnospiraceae
Description: partial 16S ribosomal RNA
Rfam family: Bacterial small subunit ribosomal RNA
Source: RNAcentral
UACGUAUGGUGCAAGCGUUAUCCGGAUUUACUGGGUGUAAAGGGAGCGUAGACGGCUGUGUAAGUCUGAAGUGAAAGCCCGGGGCUCAACCCAGGGACUGCUUUGGAAACUAUGCAGCUAGAGUGUCGGAGAGGUAAGUGGAAUUCCCAGUGUAGCGGUGAAAUGCGUAGAUAUUGGGAGGAACACCAGUGGCGAAGGCGGCUUACUGGACGAUGACUGACGUUGAGGCUCGAAAGCGUGGGGAGCAAACAGG